Molecule: long non-coding RNA, 1402 nt
Filed under: Homo sapiens (human)
Lineage: Eukaryota; Metazoa; Chordata; Mammalia; Primates; Hominidae
Description: HSALNT0326980
Source: RNAcentral
CUUAUGAGGUUGGACAAUGCUGCAGUCAUCCAGGGUGGGAGGAUCCACUUCCAAAACGUCUCACUCACAUGACUAUUGGCAGAAAGCCUCAGUUCCUUGAAAAUGUGGACUUCUCUGCAGGCCUUCUGGAGUGUCCUCCUGACAGCAACUGGCCUUUCCCAGAGAGAGUGAUCCAACAGAGAGAGCAAGUAGGAUAUAGCUGCGCCUUUCAUGACAGCCUCAGAAGCCACAAAUCACCGUGUCUGCUAUGUUUUAUUCAUCAGAAGUGAGUCGCUGAGUCCAACCAUAUUCACAGGGAGGCAAAGACCUCAGAUGGACAGAAUUCAACUCAUCACAUUUCUUGGUUCUUGACACGCUCUCCUCGUUAGUCCAUCACAUAUUGCACGGAUUCAUUCAUAUCGCUGCAUGUAGGCUGCUUUGACCUGCUGUAGAAUAUCUCAUUGUGUGGAUGCACAUGUGGAUCACUGAGUAUGUCAGAGCUGGCAAGAUACGUCAGAAGAGAAAGGAGAAACUCUUAACUAAAUAGAGUUGGAAAUAAAAUAAUUGUCUGUAUGGAAUAAGAUCAAAGGUCCCACAUGUUAAAGUCAACCCCAGAUGAAUUAAAGUCUUACAUGUCAAAAAAAAUUGAAACUUUUAGAAGAAAAUUAAGGUGGAUAUAUUUUAGACCUUAAGGUAGAGAAAGAUUUCUUAAAGAAGACACUUACAGGAUUGAUUACAAACAAAAAGACUGGUACAUUUGAAUGUAUUAUGUUAAGAACUUUUCCACCAAAAGAAAGCCUCGAUUUCCUCAUUUUUAAGAUGAGGAUAAUAAUCCCUACCUUAUAGAAUUCUAAUAAGAUGAAAUGAAGCAACAUAUACAAAAUACUUAGCACAGAUCCUAACACCUACAAAAUAAUAAAUGGUAACGAUUAUUAUUCUUCUCAAACAACAAUCCUAUUAUUUAUCAAAUAAUACUGAGUAAUAUGACAAGACAUAUUUAAACCACACAAGCCAUAUGCAGACAAGUGUUUAAUAUCAUAGUGAUAGUUUCAAGAGAGAGAUAAUAAUUUAUUCUACAUUUAUCAGAGGUCUAUAGCCCAGUAGUCAAUAAAUACUUAUCUAUAGUCAAUAAGUACUAUCAAGCAUCCAUGCCAGGAACCAUGCUAGGGGCUGAUUAAUUUACAUCAAUCACCAUGACUUUUUUCCCACAAACUAACACACACACAAUCUUCAUAGAUUUUUCUGUGAUCACAGCAAGGAAAAGACCUACGCAUGUUUGGAUCAUCUGUGUACAGUCCUACAGAAGAACUUUGACACUAUCAGAGACAGAAAUCUCAGAAUAGUCCAACUCUCACUUAUUUGUGCUAAUGAAAGAGUAAAGUAAAAGAGACAAUUAAAAUGGGAAAUGUGUUUUGUUUUGUUU